GAUGAAGAACGUAGCGAAAUGCGAUAAGUAAUGUGAAUUGCAGAAUUCAGUGAAUCAUCGAAUCUUUGAACGCACCUUGCGCCCUUUGGCUAUUCCGAAGGGCAUGCCUGUUUGGGUAUCAUGAACACCUCAACUCUUCACGGCUUGCCGUGAUGAGUUUGGACUUUGGGGGUCUUGCUGGCCUACGAGCCAGCUCCUCUCAAAUGUAUUAGCUUGCCGGUGUUUGGUGGCAUCACAGGUGUGAUAACUAUCUACGCUUGUGGUUUUCCACUAGGUAACCUUCAGCAAUGGAGGUUCACCGGAGCUCACAAAUGUCUCUCCUUGCCAAGGACAGAUUUUGACCAUUUGAUCUCAAAUCAGGUAGGACUACCCGCUGAACUUAAGCAUAUCAAUAAGCGGAGGA
This 403-nucleotide unclassified non-coding RNA is filed under the name soil metagenome. RNAcentral describes it as "partial contains 5.8S ribosomal RNA, internal transcribed spacer 2, and large subunit ribosomal RNA". The stretch from base 1 to 121 matches the Rfam family "5.8S ribosomal RNA", at positions 35 to 154 of the family's 154-position model. The record is from RNAcentral.